AUGAGUGGCGCUCCAUUGUUCAUAGACGAGCUCACCCAAAGAGCGGAAGCACAAAAGAAGCGGAAGAGCAUUCGCACCGGUUCAUAUACACAAGAUGAGGACAAGUUGAUUUGUCAAUGUUGGAUGGAGAUUAGCCAAGAUCCAAGGACCGGAGCGCAACAAAAGGGCAUUGUUUUUUGGACGAGAGUCCAUAAAACAUUCCAUGAAAGGAAGAUGUUUGAGCCCUACCAAAUUACAAGCAACCGUGGCAUCGGUUCGAUUCAAAAAUGAUGGUUGUUCAUCCAACAAGAGUGCAACAAGUAUUGUGCCGCAUUUGAGAGCGUUGAAGCAUGGCCCGUGAGUGGUCUCGGCGUUGGGGACAUGGUAUGCUCUUCUCUUUCUAGCCCUUUCCUUGCUACGGCCAUGAUACUUCGGCCGUGUAUAUGUUUGCAUGUUCACUUGUUGUUGAUCAUGUGGUGUAGGCAUUUCAAUCUUUGGAGGCAUUCAAGGCCCGGCACAAUGACAAGCCAUUCACUCUUACGCAUUGUUGGACGCUCAUCAACAAUUGCCCUAAGUUCAAGGAUCAAUACCGUGAACUUCAAAGGAAGAGAGGCAAGAAAACGGCCAAGUUCGCCGAAGGUGGUGAUGGAGAGGCGUUGA
Molecule: ribosomal RNA, 639 nt
Filed under: Triticum aestivum (bread wheat)
Lineage: Eukaryota; Viridiplantae; Streptophyta; Magnoliopsida; Poales; Poaceae
Description: partial small subunit ribosomal RNA
Source: RNAcentral